CCUACGGGAGGCAGCAGUGGGGAAAUAUUGCGCAAUGGGCGAAAGCCUGACGCAGCCAUGCCGCGUGUGUGAAGAAGGCCCUAGGGUUGUAAAGCACUUUCAAUAGGGAGAAAAGGCUCACGGUUAAUACCCGUGAGAGUUGAUGUUACCUAUAGAAGAAGCACCGGCUAACUCCGUGCCAGCAGCCGCGGUAAUACGGAGGGUGCGGGCGUUAAUCGGAAUUACUGGGCGUAAAGCGCGCGUAGGCGGUCUGUUAAGUCAGCUGUGAAAGCCCCGGGCUUAACCUGGGAACUGCAGUUGAUACUGGCAGGCUAGAGUACGAGAGAGGGAGGUAGAAUUCCAUGUGUAGCGGUGAAAUGCGUAGAUAUAUGGAGGAAUACCAGUGGCGAAGGCGGCCUCCUGGCUCGAUACUGACGCUGAGGUGCGAAAGCGUGGGUAGCAAACAGGAUUAGAUACCCUGGUAGUCCACGCCGUAAACGAUGUCUACUAGCCGUUGGGUGACUUGAUUGCUUAGUGGCGCAGCUAACGCAAUAAGUAGACCGCCUGGGGAGUACGGCCGCAAGGUUAAAACUCAAAUGAAUUGACGGA
RNAcentral lists this ribosomal RNA (588 nucleotides) under uncultured bacterium. Its description in RNAcentral is "bacterial SSU rRNA". It matches the Rfam family "Bacterial small subunit ribosomal RNA", at positions 338 to 917 of the family's 1533-position model. The record is from RNAcentral.